Molecule: ribosomal RNA, 705 nt
Filed under: Triticum aestivum (bread wheat)
Lineage: Eukaryota; Viridiplantae; Streptophyta; Magnoliopsida; Poales; Poaceae
Description: partial small subunit ribosomal RNA
Source: RNAcentral
AUGGCUGGAUUCGCUGAUGCACUGAGGCCGGAUAAGUUUACCGGUGUGCACUUUAAGAGGUGGCAGGUGGGAUGCAUUCUGAGUGUUCUUGUUGACCGUCUGUGUGAUGUGUACAUGCACAUAAACGACGGAAAAAUUCUGUGGGAUGCACUGAAUGCAAAAUUCGGUGCAACAGAUGCAGGCAGUGAACUGUACAUCAUGGAGAGUUUUCAUGACUACAAGAUGGUGAAUAACCGUUCUGUGGUUGAACAAGCUCAUGAGAUACAGUGCAUUGUGAAGGAACUUGAACUCCUUAAAUAUGUUCUAUCCGACAAAUUCGUGGCUGGGUGCAUGAUUGCAAAGUUGCCUCCUUCAUGGAGGAAUUUCGCCACAACUCUGAAGCAUAAGAGACAGGAGAUAUCAGUUGAAAAUCUGAUUGCAUCUCUUGAUGUUGAAGAAAAAGCUCGGGCUAAAGAUACCACUGAAAAAGGAGGUGAGGUUCAGCCUACUGCUAACAUGGUGCAGAGGUACCCACAGAACAAGAACAAAGGGAAGAACAAACCUGUUGUCAACAAGCCUACCAAGACUACUACCUUCAAGAAGAAGAAGUUCAACAAGUAUUUCAAUCAUCUUCGUGGUGGAUUGAUUCGGGUGCUAACGUUCAUGUGUGUGCUGACAUCUCCCUGUUUACUUCUUAUCAGGUCGCAAGGGAUUCUUCCGUCCUAA